Molecule: long non-coding RNA, 695 nt
Filed under: Helianthus annuus (common sunflower)
Lineage: Eukaryota; Viridiplantae; Streptophyta; Magnoliopsida; Asterales; Asteraceae
Description: hypothetical non coding rna
Source: RNAcentral
CCCAUUGACAAAUUUUUAAUCUUUUUAGGGUUCUAAUAAAAAUCUUGACAAAAAGCCACAAAAUUUAAUAUGAUCCAAGUCCUUUUCUUGAUAAUUUGGGCAUUUUGUGAGGAUUUUUUAAAACAAAACAAGACCCAGAAGCUGAAAUUAACUAAAACAAUACACCCAUUGACAAAUUUUCAAUCUUUUUAGGGUUCUUAUAAAAACUUUGACCCACAAACAAAGGGUUCUAAUAAAAAUCUUGACAAAAAGCCACAAAAUUUAAUAUGACCCAAGUCCCUUUCUUGAUAAAUAAACCAUUUGUUGAUUUUCUUUUUUCUUGAAAAACCACAUAAAUCACAUAAACCCAGAUCCUAUAACCAACAAACAACAAACCCAUCAACAAAUUUUGCAUCUUUCUAGGGUUUAACCCACAAUCUUGAUCAAAAAACUCUUAAAAAUUUCAAGAAAGUAGAAUGUGCACUUACAAAGAGUGGAGACUUCCCCCCUGACAACAAGAUCUUGCAACUGCUUUUUGUAUCAAAAAUCUUGCCCCAAAUGUGAAGUGUUUGUGUGUGUGUGUUAGAGAGAGAUUAAAUAUUUGUGACAAUUGAAUAAUGGAGAUGAUGAGAAAAUGGACGGUGGAGAUUGACAGAUGGGGUUCGGUUGAUGUGUAUACAUCCUGGUUAAACGUAUUGGAAGGAUGGAAGCUUUGA